AUGGACUUCCUAAACAUGUUGAGACUUAGUAAUUUGCUUCUCAUUCAAUCUUUUUGUAUAACGUUGGCCUUCGACAAUUUUGCAUGCCUGGAGAACCAAUAGAACACCAGAAUAAGCAAAAACACCGAUUAAGUUGAAUAGUUACAUCAAUUACAAGGUGCUUUCCAAACCUCCAUAGGUAAGUAGUUAGCCUUCUUUUGGUUGCCUACUUGAAGGCAAGGAAGGUGUGUGUAUUGAAUAGUGAAACCAUACAUCUCUUGAAAGUAUUCGACUACUGACUUCAUUGUUGAAUUCUCAUCCACAGGAAACCUAAAUUCUCUUGUUGGUUGAGAAGUC
RNAcentral lists this long non-coding RNA (336 nucleotides) under Medicago truncatula (barrel medic). Its description in RNAcentral is "lncRNA gene6049". The record is from RNAcentral. Lineage: Eukaryota; Viridiplantae; Streptophyta; Magnoliopsida; Fabales; Fabaceae.